AUUAUGGACAUGCCAAUAAAAUGUAUCUCAUUUCUAAUGAAACACAGAGAUUAGCACAGCCCCUAUAAAAGGAUGACAUGCAAAUUCGUGAAGCAUUCCAUAAAAUU
Small nuclear RNA from Lemur catta (Ring-tailed lemur), 107 nucleotides. The record is from RefSeq and is a predicted model, not a curated record. NCBI's taxonomy places the organism in Eukaryota, Metazoa, Chordata, Mammalia, Primates, Lemuridae.